AGUCGUAACAAGGUAACCGUAGGUGAACCUGCGGUUGGAUCAUUACUAAUGAUUGGGUCUUCUUUACGGAGGACCCUACCAACAACUGUGCAUCCAGUGUUUACAACUCUUUGGAGUUGUGGGCACUAUAAACGUUAUUUUAGUCUGAAUUUUUCAUACGAAAAAAAUACAACUUUAGACAACGGAUCUCUUGGCUCUCGCAACGAUGAAGAACGCAGCGAAAUGCGAUACGUAAUGUGAAUUGCAGAAUUCCGUGAAUCAUCAAAUCUUUGAACGCACAUUGCACUUUACUCUGUAAAGUAUGCCUGUUUGAGAAUCUAUAGUAAUUCUCUGCGGUUUUUGAAAAAAGACUGCGGGAUUUGAGACCUGGGCUUGCAAAAGACCCUGUCUUUAAAUAGAUUGCCUGUCCCCUGUUUUGGGUCCUAAGGGUAACAUGUUGACUGUAGCUUCGGCUGCUCUAUUCAUGACUGCUCUCAAGACACUCGACAGAAAGGAAGGGCCCACCAUCUGAACAAUGGUCUCAAAUCAGGUAGGAAGACCCGCUGAACUUAAGCAUAUCAAUAAGCGGAGGAAAAGAAACUAACAAGGAUUCCCCUAGUAACGGCGAGUGAAGCGGGAACAGCUCAAAUUUGAAAUCUCACUGUUUUACAGUGCGAAUUGUAGUUUAGAGAAACGUUUUCGGUGUAGACUGCAGGUACAAGUUCUUUGGAACGAGACAUCAUAGAGGGUGAAAAUCCCGUCUUUGACCUGCGGCUCUGCGCCAUAUGAUACGUUUUCCAAGAGUCGGUUUGUUUGGGAAUGCAGACCAAAAUGGGUGGUAAAUACCAUCUAAAGCUAAAUAUUGGCGAGAGACCGAUAGCGAACAAGUACCGUGAGGGAAAGAUGAAAAGAACUUUGAAAAGAGAGUUAAAUAGUACGUGAAAUUGUCUAAAGGGAAACGCUUGGAACCAGUAUUGCAGCUGUUAUUCAGCGGUGCAUCGCGCCGUGUAUUUAGCAGUUUGCGAGUCAACAUCAGUUUUGCCUGCAGGAAAAAUGCGCUGGAAGGUAACCUUCGGGUAUUAUAGCCAGUGUUUCUACUGUGGGCGGGACUGAGGACUGCAGUGUUUUUUGGGUAACUAGUCGCCUUUUGAAGUGGUGUUUUGGACUGCAUGCAGACCACGGCAUUACCAUGAAGCCCGGCUGGGGUUCCACACCAACACUUUGGAUGUUGACGAAAUGGUUUUAAGCGACC
This 1231-nucleotide ribosomal RNA is filed under the name uncultured fungus. RNAcentral's name for it is "eukaryotic LSU rRNA". The stretch from base 516 to 1231 matches the Rfam family "Eukaryotic large subunit ribosomal RNA", at positions 1 to 649 of the family's 3401-position model. Lineage: Eukaryota; Fungi. The record is from RNAcentral.